This 392-nucleotide ribosomal RNA is filed under the name uncultured bacterium. RNAcentral's name for it is "bacterial SSU rRNA". It matches the Rfam family "Bacterial small subunit ribosomal RNA", at positions 28 to 409 of the family's 1533-position model. The record is from RNAcentral.
GAUGAACGCUGGCUGUGUGCCUAAUACAUGCAUGUCGAGCGAAGCACUUCGGUGCUUAGCGGCGAAUGGGUGAGUAACACGUACUUAACCUACCUUAUUGAUUGGGACAACAGUUGGAAACGACUGACUAAUACCGAAUACGCUUAGUUUGGGGCACUCCCCGAGUAAUAGAAACGUACCCGGUUUGGGUCGACAAUGAGAGUGGGAGUGCGCUACAUUAGUUAGUUGGUAGGGGUAACGGCCUACAAGACGAUGAUGUAUAGCGGGGUUGAGAAGCUGAUCCGCCACACGUGGGACUGAGAUACCGGCCCAGACUCCGUACGGGAGGCAGCAGGUAGGGUAAUUUUCCAACAAUGAGCGAAAGCUUGAUGGAGCGACACAGCGUGCAGGAU